UCCCGUGUGGCUCAGUUGGUAGAGCAUGGUGUUUGCAACGCCAGGGUUGUGGGUUAUAUUCCCACAGGGGAC
This is a non-coding RNA of Salmo salar (Atlantic salmon), 72 nucleotides long. The record is from Rfam. Lineage: Eukaryota; Metazoa; Chordata; Actinopteri; Salmoniformes; Salmonidae.